CACUGUCUGAAACCCAUGUUUUUAUACCCAGAUCAUGCCAUGGGCCAUCCACUAUCUUCGUGUUCUCUGUUGCUCAGAAGCUGACAUGUGUGACUGCACUGAGUGAUGUCAUAAAGUGAUAACCUUGACAGUCAAAAAGAAAAAAAGAGAGAACCCAAGAAGAGAUACCCUACAUACUCCAAGGGAGCUGCGUUUCACAUGGGAAAUGCAGAGGAACAGAGCAUUUGGUCAUUUAUGUCUUCACGGUCAAAGCCAAUGGCUAAAUUAUUCUUGCCAAAGUUAAAUUUAAUUACCAAGCGGCAUGUGCAACAAUAAGAUAUUUUCAAAAGCAACUUUAAUAAUGUAGCCUAUAGAGUAGUAAAAAAUAUUUUCAGUGUCAUCAAUAUAAUGAAAAAAAUUAAGAUGAUUUUCUGAUAAUUACUUCUGAAAGAAUUGCUACAACACAAGGAUAAUUAAGGCCAACCAGGGAGAUAAAAACCUUCAGAUUCAAGAUGUGAAGAAAUGUCAGAGGGUGUGAAACAAUUGUUUUAAUUUUUUUCUCAUUUGUAAAUUCAUUUUAUGCCUCCAAGUGCAAUAUAAAUUAUUUACCAAAAUUAGCUGUAAUCACUUACAGGGACAAGUACAAGCAGUUCACACAUAAACCUGUAUCGUUGCUUUAUUUGCAUGUAAACUGUGCAAAUGUCUAAUUAGAGAGGCAAGUAUAGAAGUAAACAAUGCUUAAUGUUGUAAAAAUUCCCUGCUCCCUCCCCUCUUCUGAUUUAAGGAAGAGGUAAGAAGAAAAGAGCCAGUGGCACAAGGGGGGGGAAAGAGUUCUUAUUUGAAAACAUCUUUAGAAAUCCUAUUUCAAGAUAGAAUUAUGUAUGACUUUCAUCCAAAUUCUAAUUCUCUGCCUCAAUUGUCAUUCAGGUUUCUGAAAUGUGCUAGAGAUAUUCUUUUUGACUUGAAAUAUAUGCCCUCAGAGAAGCCUGACCACAGGCUCACUCACUUUAUCUUAUGAGGUUGAGGUCUUCCCUCUCCCUCUGCCUGAGCUCUGGUCCCGUGUCUCUGCUUGGACAUUAGUCAUGCUCUCCAGUCCUUAGGUGAUUCUCUUGGACAAGGACAACUUGCUCGCUACCCAGUAAGAUACCAUAAAAAGUGUCUUCAAUUAGCCAGCUGAGCACUAAAGUUCAUUAUUUAUUAAUGUAUCUUUCCUGUUCUGUUUUGAACAGGAACUUAGUCUCUUUUUGGGCCAGUGGGAACAGGACGCUGCGGGGCCCACAUACCCCCGUGCAUUCCUUAUUUAAUCGUUACUGCUUCUUUUAGGUGAAUAUCAGUGUUGAGGGUCUUGGAACGAUGCAGCCUCAUCCACACAUUGCUGGGAGGCAGGUCUGUGAUGAGAUGAUUCUUUCUGGAAUCAAACCGGCAUCUCAUCGCAUUGCGCCAUGGUCACAAGCCCCGUGCACUGUGGACAAACCUUGGCAGUCAAUAACAGCAACUACCUUGCCUGUUACUCAGGGCAGUGCCCUGUCAUAAGGGAGUCAGAAACGAUGGUGCUGAAGAGAUUGCCAGCGCAUCCCAUGCCCUUUGGCAGAUGAGAAACUGAAGGUGUUCAGUGUGGUUCCUGGCAAAGCCUAAUUUUCACUCACGGAUGUGAAUAUAGAAACUUAACCCUUACUUGGCAUGACAUAUGCCUCACACACACUGGAACUUGAAGGUUCUGUGUUAAAUGAAUCUGUAAAAAGAACCAGUCUUCUUCUUCUUCUUUGCCCUUGAACAUCCAUUUUCCAUAGCUAGUAUGUCUGUGUGUAUGCACGUGUACACACGCACACACAAACACAUACUCAAAACCUGUGUAAAUACAUAGUUUACGCUGGUGACUUGGGGAAAAUCUUUUUGGUUGCUCAGCUCUUCGUGGUGAAUGAUUCUCAGUACAACCUCAAGUUCAGCAAGCUGUGUACAAGGAUGGUAGACACUCCACGGAGCCAGUAGUAAUAGCAGAGUCAAUUUAUAAGCAUCGCCAUGCCUGCAUCUUUAACUUUGCCUGUAGCUGUAGGCUAGACUGCAUUUCAAUCAGUUCGAGUUCAGCUGUCUGUUUUAUUACACCCAGGCCAGUAACACUUUGGGGAUUUUUAGUCCCUUCAAUGACAAAUGUAUAUUCAACCGCUGCUGUGAGCAGCAGCCCACAAUGCAGGUCACAAGGACAACAAACUGAGUGGGUAUGUCAGAGAAAUGUUCAGAGAAAGAUCUCCAUAGGUGUCUGCAAUUUGCCUCUACCUUCAAGCUUUUCAAUCUUUGGGAAGCAUUUUGGAAAGUUGUUUUUCAAGUCAUAUAUCUUUAUUUUUAAAACUCUGCGUCUCUUUAAAAGAACUAGAUUGCCUAAGACAUUUCUAACAACAUUUUAUACAAAUUUAACUCAUUCCACUGACAGACAAUGACAAGAUUUUUACCUCGCCUAAUGCUGUGGCUGGUUGGGUGUAAUGUUUUUUUUGAGACAGAUCAUGAAGUCUAUUCACAGAUGCCACUCUGAGAGUCUUAUUUCGCAAAGCUGAAAUAACUGUCCUUAAAGGGUACAGUGCACCAGCUCUGCUUAGUGAGACACCGAGAGAAAUCCACCUCCACUGUGUUGUCACUCGGCCAACACAAUUGAGAGAAAAAGAAAAAGUGCCUUCCUACAGGAAAAGUGUCAGCUGUGCCAAUUGAGAACAGACAUUGAAAUGGCCCUAAUAUAUUUUUACCUAAAUGCCUGGCCCAAGCUACACUGGUGUACGAGAAUCAUCUCUGUAACGUUCUUUUAGUAUAUAAAGGAGGUAAGAAAUUUUCAUCAAGUCUCAUCAAUCAACUGAAAACUUUCUUUCUGCUGACCCCCAGAUCUGGCUCCAUCUGUUAUAAAAGUCCAAUUAAUUUGUGCAAGAUGCAAAUUUUAUUUAACUGAAAGAAAGUCUGUGAAAUUUUAAUUGUUGGCCUUCACUUGAGGCCCUCCCACCACUGAAUUCCACAUCCAAAUGCAUUUUAUGAGAGAGUUGAGAGCAACAAUAACUUUGAUUUGCUUUCCUCAAAAAUUUUUUUUUUUUGGGGGGGUCUUUAGGGCUGCACCUGCGGCAUAUGGAGGUUCCCAGGCUAGGGGUCAAAUCAGAGCUGUAGCUGCUGGCCUACGCCACAGCCACAGCAAUGCAGGAUCCACCUACACCAUCUGUGACCUACACCACUGCUCAUGGCAACACCGAAUCCUUAACCUACUCAGCAAGGCCAGGGAUUGAACCUGCAUCCUCAUGGAUGAACCUAGUCAGGUUCGUUAAUUGCUGAACCACGACAGGAGCUCUGCUUUUCUCAAUUCUUAUGCCCACAACAUUACAAGCUAAUCAUUGACAAUUAAUAUCAGAAUAUCAAGAGAAUAAGUGUUUUUAAUGACUGAAUCUUUUUUUUCUUUACUAGUUUGUGACAUGCAUACCUUUUCCUGUCCUGUACUAUUUCCUGAGCCUCAGAAAUAAAGCAAUAUUUUCCAUAUUGUGUCCUAUAGGACUACUGGCAAAAUCAUAUAACCAGACUGGUCUUAAUCAAACCUAGGUGAGGACUGGUCUCCUCAGAGAACAAUCAAAAUAUGAUUUGAUCCUCAUAUAAAAUUUGCAGCAAACAGUGAGAUCAUAUUCAAGUCAAUACUUGUUUAACAUCAAAUUUUAUAACUGGUGCAGCUCGUGUAGAAAACAGUAUGGAAGUUCCUUGAAAGUUAAAAGUAGAGUUGCCAUAAGUUCCAGCAGUCCCACUCCUAGGCAUAUGUCUGGAGAAAACUACAAUUCAAAAAGAUAUAUGCACCCAAAUGUUCACAUCAGUACUAUUUACAAUAACUAACACAUGGAAGCAACCUAAAUGUCCAUCAAAAGAUGAAGGGAUCAAAAAGAUGUGGUACAUAUACACAAUGGAAUACUACUUGUCCACAAAAAAGAAUGAAAUGAUACAAUUUGCAGCAACGGGAAUGGACCUAGAGAUUAUCAUACUAAGUAAAGUAUGUCAGGCAGAGAAAGACAAAUACCAUACGAUAUUGCUUAUAGGUAGAAGCUAAAAUACGACACAAAUGAACUUACCAAACAGAAACAGACUCGCAGAUGUAGAAAACAUACUUAUGGUUCCCAAAGGGGAAGAGGGGCACGAGAGGGAUAAAUUAGGAGUUUGCGAUUAAGAGACAUGAAGUAUUAUAUAUAAAAUAGAUAAACUACAAGGUUCAACUGUAUAGCACAGGGAACUAUAUUCAAUAUCCUAUAAUAAAACAUAAUGGAAAGAAGAUGAAAAAGAAUAUGUACAUAUAUUAUAACUGAAUCUCUUUGGUGUAUACCAGAGGCUAACACAACAGUGUAAAUCAACUAUAUUUCAAUAAAAAAGACGUUGUUAAAAAUAUAUAUCACAUUUGUUCCCAGAAAUAAAAUUUAAAAGGAGACAUUGAGUAUUAAUAUGUCAGACUACAAAAUGAGUAUAUAUAUUUGGAAGUGUUAUAACUAUGUAUUCUGUAUGUGUUAUUCAGUGUUUCCCUUUCAUGUUCUUUUUGCCAGAACUUGGCAACACUUCAAAUAAUUAGGGAAAGAAAAAAGUAUCUCUAGGGAAUAUCUUUCAAUAGGAUUUUGUUUGAAGGUGCAUGUAUUCAAUGGCAUGGUUUUCCCUUCUUAAAACCUUUGCUGGACACAGAGCACCAAGCACUUAUUUCUGUGGAGGUUUCUAUUUGUGUGUUCACAAGAACUAAAUCAUUUAAAAUGUCCCUCUUCGUUGUGAAUUUAAUUUUUAAAAAUUAAACUGUGGACCUACUGCCUUAAAGCAUGAUUAAAACUCUGAAAACUCCUUAGCAUUCCAUUUGAGGGUGGGUUCCCCCCAAAAGCCUGUGAAUUUACAUGAAGCAGGUAUGCAGAAGUUGAAUUACACUAGAUUUUUUAUUUCUUUGCCUCUAUCUUCCUUCAGCCCGAUCCCAAGUCUCUCCUCAACACCACCACCUCAUUCCUUGGAAAAUUCCUCUCUCCCUCAGCUAUCUCUUGUC
This 4996-nucleotide long non-coding RNA is filed under the name Sus scrofa (pig). Its description in RNAcentral is "lncRNA (ENSSSCG00000061397.1)". Lineage: Eukaryota; Metazoa; Chordata; Mammalia; Artiodactyla; Suidae. The record is from RNAcentral.